GCCCCGUUCGUCUAGUGGCCUAGGACACCACCCUCUCAAGGUGGCGGCACGGGUUCGAAUCCCGUACGGGGUAC
This 74-nucleotide transfer RNA is filed under the name uncultured Acidimicrobiales bacterium. Its description in RNAcentral is "tRNA-Glu". It matches the Rfam family "tRNA". Rfam says of the family: Transfer RNA (tRNA) molecules are approximately 80 nucleotides in length. Their secondary structure includes four short double-helical elements and three loops (D, anti-codon, and T loops). RNAcentral also lists the same sequence under 2 other names. Lineage: Bacteria; Bacillati; Actinomycetota; Acidimicrobiia; Acidimicrobiales. The record is from RNAcentral.